Molecule: ribosomal RNA, 423 nt
Filed under: uncultured bacterium
Lineage: Bacteria
Description: bacterial SSU rRNA
Rfam family: Bacterial small subunit ribosomal RNA
Source: RNAcentral
AGCGAACGCUGGCGGCAGGCUUAACACAUGCAAGUCGAACGGGCGUAGCAAUACGUCAGUGGCAGACGGGUGAGUAACGCGUGGGAACGUACCUUUUGGUUCGGAACAACCCAGGGAAACUUGGGCUAAUACCGGAUAAAGCCCUUACGGGGAAAGAUUUAUCGCCGAAAGAUCGGCCCGCGUCUGAUUAGCUAGUUGGUGUGGUAACGGCGCACCAAGGCGACGAUCAGUAGCUGGUCUGAGAGGAUGAUCAGCCACACUGGGACUGAGACACGGCCCAGACUCCUACGGGAGGCAGCAGUGGGGAAUAUUGGACAAUGGGCGAAAGCCUGAUCCAGCAAUGCCGCGUGAGUGAUGAAGGCCUUAGGGUUGUAAAGCUCUUUUACCCGGGAUGAUAAUGACAGUACCGGGAGAAUAAGCCCC